Molecule: ribosomal RNA, 192 nt
Filed under: uncultured Nitrospira sp.
Lineage: Bacteria; Pseudomonadati; Nitrospirota; Nitrospiria; Nitrospirales; Nitrospiraceae
Description: partial 16S ribosomal RNA
Rfam family: Bacterial small subunit ribosomal RNA
Source: RNAcentral
GAACUCCUACGGGAGGCAGCAGUAAGGAAUAUUGCGCAAUGGGCGAAAGCCUGACGCAGCGACGCCGCGUGGGGGAUGAAGGUCUUCGGAUUGUAAACCCCUUUCGGGAGGGAAGAUGGAGCGAGCAAUCGUUCGGACGGUACCUCCAGAAGCAGCCACGGCCAACUUCGUGCCAGCAGCCGCGGUAAUAAU